AUUAUGUAACAUCCCACAACUUG
RNAcentral lists this non-coding RNA (23 nucleotides) under Cricetulus griseus (Chinese hamster). The record is from RNAcentral. Lineage: Eukaryota; Metazoa; Chordata; Mammalia; Rodentia; Cricetidae.